GAUGAAGAACGCAGCGAAAUGCGAUAAGUAGUGUGAAUUGCAGAAUUCAGUGAAUCAUCGAAUCUUUGAACGCACAUUGCGCCCUUUGGAAUUCCAAAGGGCAUGCCUGUUCGAGCGUCAUUUGUACCCUCAAGCUUUGCUUGGUGUUGGGCGUCUUGUCUCCAGUUCGCUGGAGACUCGCCUUAAAGUAAUUGGCAGCCGGCCUACUGGUUUCGGAGCGCAGCACAAGUCGCGCUCUCUUCCAGCCAAGGUCAGCAUCCACAAAGCCUUUUUUCAACUUUUGACCUCGGAUCAGGUAGGGAUACCCGCUGAACUUAAGCAUAUCAAUAAGCGGAGGA
Molecule: unclassified non-coding RNA, 338 nt
Filed under: soil metagenome
Description: partial contains 5.8S ribosomal RNA, internal transcribed spacer 2, and large subunit ribosomal RNA
Rfam family: 5.8S ribosomal RNA (bases 1-120)
Source: RNAcentral